AUCGAAUAAAUCACUGAUAAUUAACGGCCUCUCUGAGAUCCUUGCACUAACAAAACAAGAAAACCAUGCACUUAAUACCGUUAAUCUAACACAAGAACAUUACAGGAAAGAUUAAAAGACGCAGAAGGAACUCGGCAAACUACGAACCCCGCCUGUUUACCAAAAACAUCGCCUCUUGCUAACAAACAUGUAUAAGAGGUCCAGCCUGCCCAGUGACUAUAUGUUCAACGGCCGCGGUAUUCUGACCGUGCAAAGGUAGCGUAAUCACUUGUCUUUUAAAUAAAGACUGGUAUGAACGGCACCACGAAGGUUCAACUGUCUCCUGCAUCCAAUCCAUUAAACUGACCUCCCCGUGCAGAGGCGGGGAUUUAACCAUAAGACGAGAAGACCCUAUGGAGCUUUAAACUAAAGGCAACUGCCAACUACAACCUAACCCAUAAGGAAAUAAUAAUAAAACAAGCAGAAAUUGACCUAAAGUUUUCGGUUGGGGCGACCACGGAGAAUAAAAAAUCCUCCUUGAAGAAUAGGGCCUACUACUCUUAAC
Molecule: ribosomal RNA, 544 nt
Filed under: Xenopus laevis (African clawed frog)
Lineage: Eukaryota; Metazoa; Chordata; Amphibia; Anura; Pipidae
Description: partial 16S ribosomal RNA
Rfam family: Bacterial large subunit ribosomal RNA
Source: RNAcentral